Long non-coding RNA from Anopheles bellator, 402 nucleotides. RefSeq lists it as uncharacterized. The transcript has 3 exons. Lineage: Eukaryota; Metazoa; Arthropoda; Insecta; Diptera; Culicidae. The record is from RefSeq and is a predicted model, not a curated record.
UGGAACAAAUCUAUGUGAUCUGUGUGAAUCUGAGUGAUCAUUCCACGGUUUGUGUGGGUUGUGUCGUUAUUCCGAACAACGACCCGAUAAACAUUGACAAAGUGCUGGAUGACUUCGAAUUCAACGAGGACGUUGGGCGCUACACCUGGAAGGGAACGAUUGGUAAUAACAGAAACAAAGAACGCUAAGUAAAAUCUUCCACUGACACCAGACCGGCAAUUAAACACGGAACGGAAUCUUUGAAUGGAGUAAUGCUUCUAACGGACGAAACCGACCAAAGGGAUUUUCCCGCAAACGAAGAGUAUCAGCGAAUCUACCAGCAUGGAAACGCCCUUUCCCUCGGCCCGGAUCGAUCCGUUUCUGCACGUGCAGCAAACUAUCAUGCGAACGAGUGUGGUCCCA